RNAcentral lists this ribosomal RNA (253 nucleotides) under uncultured bacterium. RNAcentral's name for it is "partial 16S ribosomal RNA". It matches the Rfam family "Bacterial small subunit ribosomal RNA", at positions 524 to 776 of the family's 1533-position model. The record is from RNAcentral.
UACGUAGGGUGCGAGCGUUGUCCGGAAUUACUGGGCGUAAAGAGCUCGUAGGUGGUUUGUCGCGUUGUCCGUGAAAACUCACAACUCAAUUGUGGGCGUGCGGGCGAUACGGGCAGACUGGAGUACUGCAGGGGAGACUGGAAUUCCUGGUGUAGCGGUGGAAUGCGCAGAUAUCAGGGGGAACACCGGUGGCGAAGGCGGGUCUCUGGGCAGUAACUGACGCUGAGGUGCGAAAGCGUGGGGAGCAAACAGG